GUCAGUAUUAGGGUUUUAAACCCUAAACUGAACUUUCCCUUUAGUCAACAUUAGGGUUUUAAACCCUAAACUGAACUCUUUCCUUCAGUCAUUAUUAAGGUUUUAAACCCUAAACUGAACUUUUUCCAUUCAGUCAGCAUUAGGGUUUUAAACCCUAAACUGAACUCUUUCAUUCAGUCAUUAUUAAGGUUUUAAACCCUAAACUGAACUUUUUCCAUUCAGUCAGCAUUAGGGUUUUAAACCCUUAACUGAACUCUUUCCAGCCAGUCAGUAUUAGGGUUUUAAACCCUAAACUGAACUUUCCCUUUAGUCAGAAUUAGGGUUUUAAACCCUAAACUGAACUCUUUCCUUCAGUCAGCAUUAGGGUUUUAAACCCUAAACUGAACUUUUUCCAUUCAGUCAGCAUUAA
This 409-nucleotide long non-coding RNA is filed under the name Nicotiana tabacum (common tobacco). RNAcentral's name for it is "long non-coding RNA (NTAB_LNC004387)". Lineage: Eukaryota; Viridiplantae; Streptophyta; Magnoliopsida; Solanales; Solanaceae. The record is from RNAcentral.